GACGAACGCUGGCGGCGUGCUUAACACAUGCAAGUCGAACGGAAAGGCCCUGCUUUUGUGGGGUGCUCGAGUGGCGAACGGGUGAGUAACACGUGAGUAACCUGCCCUUGACUUUGGGAUAACUUCAGGAAACUGGGGCUAAUACCGGAUAGGAGCUCCUGCUGCAUGGUGGGGGUUGGAAAGUUUCGGCGGUUGGGGAUGGACUCGCGGCUUAUCAGCUUGUUGGUGGGGUAGUGGCUUACCAGGGCUUUGACGGGUAGCCGGCCUGAGAGGGUGACCGGCCACAUUGGGACUGAGAUACGGCCCAGACUCCUACGGGAGGCAGCAGUGGGGAAUAUUGCACAAUGGGCGGAAGCCUGAUGCAGCAACGCCGCGUGCGGGAUGAUGGCCUUCGGGUUGUAAACCGCUUUCGCCUGUGACGAAGCGUGAGUGACGGUAAUGGGUAAAGAAGCACCGGCUAACUACGUG
RNAcentral lists this ribosomal RNA (468 nucleotides) under uncultured bacterium. RNAcentral describes it as "partial 16S ribosomal RNA". It matches the Rfam family "Bacterial small subunit ribosomal RNA", at positions 28 to 507 of the family's 1533-position model. The record is from RNAcentral.